UGAAUACGAGAUGCUACGGCGUCGAAGCAGUCUAUGUCAUACUUCCAAGAAAAGCUUGCACUGUCAUAAACAAAUAAUGCCUGUACCAUAACCGACACAGGUGGGUAGGUAGAGUAUACUAAGGGGCGCGAGAUAACUCUCUCUAAGGAACUCGGCAAAAUGACUCCGUAACUUCGGGAGAAGGAGUGCCUUAUUUAUAAGGUUGCAAUAACAAGAUCCAAGCAACUGUUUACCAAAAACACAGGUCUCCGCUAAGUCGUAAGACGAUGUAUGGGGGCUGACGCCUGCCCAGUGCCAGAAGGUUAAAGAAGUUGGUUAGCAUCCGCGAAGCUGAUAACUGAAGCCCUGGUGAACGGCGGCCGUAACAAUAACGGUCCUAAGGUAGCGAAAUUCCUUGUCGGGUAAGUUCCGACCCGCACGAAAGGCGUAAUGAUUUGGAUACUGUCUCGGAGAGGGGCUCGGUGAAAUAGACUUGUCUGUGAAGAUGCGGACUACCUGCACCAGGACAGAAAGACCCUAUGAAGCUUUACUGUAACCUGAAAUUGAAAUUGGACUUUACUUGCGCAGUAUAGGUGGGAGGCGUUGAGAAUAUUCUUGCGGGAUUAUUGGAGCCAUCAGUGAGAUACCACUCUUGUAAUGUUAGAUUUCUAACUUUGUAUCAUUAUCUGGUCAAAGAACAGUUUCAGGGCAGUUUGACUGGGGCGGUCGCCUCCUAAACGGUAACGGAGGCGCACAAAGGUUUCCUCUGAACGGGUAGAAAUCGUAUCUAGAGUGUAAAGGCAUAAGGAAGCUUGACUGUGAGACCUACAAGUCGAGCAGGGACGAAAGUCGGUCUUAGUGAUCUGACGGUGCUGAGUGGAAAGGCCGUCACUCAACGGAUAAAAGUUACUCUAGGAUAACAGGCUGAUCUCCCCCAAGAGUUCACAUCGACGGGGAGGUUUGGCACCUCGAUGUCGGCUCAUCGCAUCCUGGGGCGGUAGUACGUCCCAAGGGUUGGGCUGUUCGCCCAUGAAAGCGGUACGCGAGCUGGGUUCAGAACGUCGUGAGACGGUUCGGUCCAUAUCCGGUGUAGGCGUUAGAAUAUUGAGAGGAGCCUUCUUUAGUACGAGAGGACCGAGAAGGACAUACCUCUGGUGUACCAGUUAUCGUGCCAACGGUAAACGCUGGGUAGCUAUGUGUGGAGUGGAUAACCGCUGAAAGCAUCUAAGUGGGAAGCCCACCUCAAGAUAAGUAUUCCC
RNAcentral lists this ribosomal RNA (1238 nucleotides) under metagenome. RNAcentral's name for it is "bacterial LSU rRNA". It matches the Rfam family "Bacterial large subunit ribosomal RNA", at positions 1564 to 2815 of the family's 2925-position model. The record is from RNAcentral.